RNAcentral lists this ribosomal RNA (440 nucleotides) under uncultured bacterium. Its description in RNAcentral is "partial 16S ribosomal RNA". It matches the Rfam family "Bacterial small subunit ribosomal RNA", at positions 338 to 795 of the family's 1533-position model. The record is from RNAcentral.
CCUACGGGAGGCAGCAGUGGGGGAUAUUGCUCAAUGGAGGAAACCCUGAAGCAGCGACGCCGCGUGAGGGAUGAAGGUUUUCGGUUUGUAAACUCCUUUUUUUGGGGAAGAUAAUGACGGUAUCUAACGAGUAAGCACCGGCUAACUCCGUGCCAGCAGCCGCGGUAAUACGGAGGGUGCGAGCGUUGCCCGGAAUCACUGGGCGGAAAGAGCGCGUAGGCGGGAGAGCAAGUCUGAUGUGAAAUCCAAUGGCUUAACCAUAAAGCUGCAUUUGAAACUGUUAUUCUUGAGUAUGGUAGAGGCAGGCGGAAUUCUUGGUGUAGGGGUAAAAUGCGUAGAGAUUAAGAGGAACACCAAUGGCGAAGGCGACCUGCUAGAACAUAACUGACGCUGAGGCGCGAAAGCGUGGGGAGCAAACAGGAUUAGAUACCCUUGUAGUC